Molecule: ribosomal RNA, 325 nt
Filed under: Rhizobium sp. NTC-2NF
Lineage: Bacteria; Pseudomonadati; Pseudomonadota; Alphaproteobacteria; Hyphomicrobiales; Rhizobiaceae
Description: bacterial SSU rRNA
Rfam family: Bacterial small subunit ribosomal RNA
Source: RNAcentral
AAGAUUUAUCGGUAAAGGAUCGGCCCGCGUUGGAUUAGCUAGUUGGUGGGGUAAAGGCCUACCAAGGCGACGAUCCAUAGCUGGUCUGAGAGGAUGAUCAGCCACAUUGGGACUGAGACACGGCCCAAACUCCUACGGGAGGCAGCAGUGGGGAAUAUUGGACAAUGGGCGCAAGCCUGAUCCAGCCAUGCCGCGUGAAUGAUGAAGGCCUUAGGGUUGUAAAGUUCUUUCACCGGAGAAGAUAAUGACGGUAUCCGGAGAAGAAGCCCCGGCUAACUUCGUGCCAGCAGCCGCGGUAAUACGAAGGGGGCUAGCGUUGUUCGGA